Molecule: ribosomal RNA, 389 nt
Filed under: Bacillus thuringiensis
Lineage: Bacteria; Bacillati; Bacillota; Bacilli; Caryophanales; Bacillaceae
Description: bacterial SSU rRNA
Rfam family: Bacterial small subunit ribosomal RNA
Source: RNAcentral
UCUAGAGAUAGGACGUCCCUUCGGGGGCAGAGUGACAGGUGGUGCAUGGUUGUCGUCAGCUCGUGUCGUGAGAUGUUGGGUUAAGUCCCGCAACGAGCGCAACCCUUGAUCUUAGUUGCCAGCAUUCAGUUGGGCACUCUAAGGUGACUGCCGGUGACAAACCGGAGGAAGGUGGGGAUGACGUCAAAUCAUCAUGCCCCUUAUGACCUGGGCUACACACGUGCUACAAUGGACAGAACAAAGGGCAGCGAAACCGCGAGGUUAAGCCAAUCCCACAAAUCUGUUCUCAGUUCGGAUCGCAGUCUGCAACUCGACUGCGUGAAGCUGGAAUCGCUAGUAAUCGCGGAUCAGCAUGCCGCGGUGAAUACGUUCCCGGGCCUUGUACACAC